Molecule: long non-coding RNA, 818 nt
Organism: Equus caballus (horse)
Lineage: Eukaryota; Metazoa; Chordata; Mammalia; Perissodactyla; Equidae
Source: RefSeq, a predicted model, not a curated record
GAUGUGAUCCCCAUCUGCCACAUAAGAAUGUUAGGUAAGCCCUGAAGCCACAAGACUGUGCCUCCAACGCCGGGUUCCUGGUUCUCUCUGCCCGUUCCCGCCACAGAACACUGUUGCCAUGGAGAUGACCAUUACUCUAAGUGGGCACAGCUGAGUGAGGACUCCAGCAAGGCCUCUUCGGAAGGAGACCGUGCAUGGCGACUCUUCGCCCCCUCGCCCACCUCCUCAUCUAUUUACUCGCCUAUUCCUGUGUUUACUCAUGUUUGUACUUGUUGAUUUAUUUUUUUAGCAUCUUUGUAGAAGACUAGGCAGCUGAGCUGGACGGAAGCCACUUGGUCACCGAAAGCCUUUCCCACGGGCCAAGAAAUGGCCGAUUUCUCUCAAAUGCUGUAUACUGGAAGAAUCCAAAGGAUUCAUCAGAUGGACACAUUUCAAAGAACCACUACCAAUUUUUUUUUCUUAAGAAGUGCAUCAAGCCUCUGAUUUGCUGCUGACAAAUUGUCUUUUUUGUCUCUCUGCUCUGCCCCUCUCUCCCCGCUUUCCCCAGCCCUCCUCACCCUGGCCCCUCUCCCGUCUCCCCCUCCUUGCUUAGGUAUCUGCCCAGAGGACACCAUUUCUUCUCAGACGUGAUGACCAGGAAGAAUGUUUUUCAGUUAUCAUAAAGAUCGUGAGUUUCUGCUUUGCUCCAGUGACCACAUGAUGACUUUCUUUCCCAGCUUGUCAUGGAUUGGGUCUGCUUUUUCAAGCAUUUUAUAAUAAUUAUUUGGCUUUUUACCCUUCUGAAUUCUCUCUGGAAUUAAUAAAGUUAAAAAAAAUGA